Molecule: long non-coding RNA, 388 nt
Filed under: Mytilus galloprovincialis (Mediterranean mussel)
Lineage: Eukaryota; Metazoa; Mollusca; Bivalvia; Mytilida; Mytilidae
Source: RNAcentral
AUUUAAGAUGCAAUAUUCUGUGUAGGAAUCUUAGUGGUAGUUAAACUUCAAAAUCCAUAUUUUAUGUAACUAAUGUUACUAAUUAUACUACAAUUUGGCAUGAGUUGGACAGACAGAAGUCCUAAUCAGUACAAUUCUUUAGAGAGUUCCCAAAGUUGAUUUCAGUCUGUAUAGGCAUGAUUCUUUCAGUGCUGUUGUCAGGGGGAGGAAGCAUUUGAAUGUUAUUAUGAAAGUGAAAAUAUACAUUCUUGGAUUGAAUAAUUAUAAGACUAAUUAGUUAAAAAUUUUGGACAUUGCUUCAAUACAAGAUGGAGAGAGGUUUUGCAACUUGGUGAGUGUAAAAAUUUUGAAAAAAAAAAAAAAAAAAAAUAUAUUUUUAUUUUCUAAA